Molecule: ribosomal RNA, 1506 nt
Filed under: metagenome
Description: bacterial SSU rRNA
Rfam family: Bacterial small subunit ribosomal RNA
Source: RNAcentral
AGAGUUUGAUCCUGGCUCAGGACGAACGCUGGCGGCGUGCCUAAUACAUGCAAGUAGAACGCUGAAGGGAGGAGCUUGCUCUUCUUGGAUGAGUUGCGAACGGGUGAGUAACGCGUAGGUAACCUGCCUUGUAGCGGGGGAUAACUAUUGGAAACGAUAGCUAAUACCGCAUAACAAUGGAUGACACAUGUCAUUUAUUUGAAAGGGGCAAUUGUUCCACUACAAGAUGGACCUGCGUUGUAUUAGCUAGUAGGUGAGGUAAUGGCUCACCUAGGCGACGAUACAUAGCCGACCUGAGAGGGUGAUCGGCCACACUGGGACUGAGACACGGCCCAGACUCCUACGGGAGGCAGCAGUAGGGAAUCUUCGGCAAUGGGGGCAACCCUGACCGAGCAACGCCGCGUGAGUGAAGAAGGUUUUCGGAUCGUAAAGCUCUGUUGUAAGUCAAGAACGGGUGUGAGAGUGGAAAGUUCACACUGUGACGGUAGCUUACCAGAAAGGGACGGCUAACUACGUGCCAGCAGCCGCGGUAAUACGUAGGUCCCGAGCGUUGUCCGGAUUUAUUGGGCGUAAAGCGAGCGCAGGCGGUUUGAUAAGUCUGAAGUUAAAGGCUGUGGCUCAACCAUAGUUCGCUUUGGAAACUGUCAAACUUGAGUGCAGAAGGGGAGAGUGGAAUUCCAUGUGUAGCGGUGAAAUGCGUAGAUAUAUGGAGGAACACCGGUGGCGAAAGCGGCUCUCUGGUCUGUAACUGACGCUGAGGCUCGAAAGCGUGGGGAGCGAACAGGAUUAGAUACCCUGGUAGUCCACGCCGUAAACGAUGAGUGCUAGGUGUUGGAUCCUUUCCGGGAUUCAGUGCCGCAGCUAACGCAUUAAGCACUCCGCCUGGGGAGUACGACCGCAAGGUUGAAACUCAAAGGAAUUGACGGGGGCCCGCACAAGCGGUGGAGCAUGUGGUUUAAUUCGAAGCAACGCGAAGAACCUUACCAGGUCUUGACAUCCCGAUGCUAUUUCUAGAGAUAGAAAGUUACUUCGGUACAUCGGUGACAGGUGGUGCGUGGUUGUCGUCAGCUCGUGUCGUGAGAUGUUGGGUUAAGUCCCGCAACGAGCGCAACCCCUAUUGUUAGUUGCCAUCAUUCAGUUGGGCACUCUAGCGAGACUGCCGGUAAUAAACCGGAGGAAGGUGGGGAUGACGUCAAAUCAUCAUGCCCCUUAUGACCUGGGCUACACACGUGCUACAAUGGUUGGUACAACGAGUUGCGAGUCGGUGACGGCGAGCUAAUCUCUUAAAGCCAAUCUCAGUUCGGAUUGUAGGCUGCAACUCGCCUACAUGAAGUCGGAAUCGCUAGUAAUCGCGGAUCAGCACGCCGCGGUGAAUACGUUCCCGGGCCUUGUACACACCGCCCGUCACACCACGAGAGUUUGUAACACCCGAAGUCGGUGAGGUAACCUUUUGGAGCCAGCCGCCUAAGGUGGGACAGAUGAUUGGGGUGAAGUCGUAACAAGGUA